This 424-nucleotide ribosomal RNA is filed under the name uncultured bacterium. RNAcentral's name for it is "bacterial SSU rRNA". It matches the Rfam family "Bacterial small subunit ribosomal RNA", at positions 359 to 776 of the family's 1533-position model. The record is from RNAcentral.
GAAUAUUGGACAAUGGGCGCAAGCCUGAUCCAGCCACGCCGCGUGAGUGAUGAAGGCCUUCGGGUCGUAAAGCUCUGUGGGGAGGGACGAACCGCCGGAGGUUAAUAGCUUCCGGCAUGACGGUACCUCCUUAGCAAGCCCCGGCAGACUUCGAGCCAGCCGCCGCGGUAAUACGAAGGGUGCAAACGUUGCUCGGAAUUAUUGGGCGUAAAGCGCACGUAGGCGGCUUUGUAAGUUGGAUGUGAAAUCCCUCGGCUCAACCAAGGAAGUGCAUCCAAAACUACAAAGCUUGAGUACUUAAGAGGAUCGCGGAAUUCCCGGUGUAGAGGUGAAAUUCGUAGAUAUCGGGAGGAACACCAGUGGCGAAGGCGGCGAUCUGGGAAGAUACUGACGCUGAGGUGCGAAAGCGUGGGGAGCAAACAGG